RNAcentral lists this non-coding RNA (936 nucleotides) under Oophaga sylvatica. RNAcentral describes it as "partial 12S small subunit ribosomal RNA". It matches the Rfam family "Bacterial small subunit ribosomal RNA". Lineage: Eukaryota; Metazoa; Chordata; Amphibia; Anura; Dendrobatidae. The record is from RNAcentral.
AAAGGUUUGGUCCUAGCCUUGAAAUCAAUUAUUAUUUAAUUUACACAUGCAAGUCUCCGCACCACAGUGAGAACGCCCUAACUUCCCCAUUAGGGAACAGGAGCUGGUAUCAGGCUCUUCUACUCAUGCCCAUUACACCUAGUCUCACCACACCCCCAAGGGUCCUCAGCAGUGAUAAACAUUGAGUAUAAGCGUCAGCUAGACUCAGUUAAACUAACUAGAGCCGGCCAAUCUGGUGCCAGCCGCCGCGGUUACACCACUGUGGCUCAAAUUGAUUUCCUUCGGCGUAAAGCGUGAUUAAAGUUCCCCAUACAAACAUCUGGAAUCCAACUCAAACUAAGCUGUGACACGCUUGUUACCUAUGAAGAUCAAAAACGAAAGUUAUUCCAACUUCAGCAACUUGAAUUCACGUCAACUGAGGAACAAACUGGGAUUAGAUACCCCAUUAUGCUCAGUCGUAAACUUUAAUUUACUCCACCAUCGCCCGGGAACUACGAGCUAAGCUUAAAACCCAAAGGACUUGACGGUACCCCAUAUCCCCCUAGAGGAGCCUGUCCUAUAACCGAUAAUCCCCGUUUAACCUCACCAUUUCUAGCUAAAACAGCCUGUAUACCUCCGUCGUCAGCUCACCGCGUGAGCGUCAGCGAGCCUAAUGUUAAUUCAACUACACGUCAGGUCAAGGUGCAACAUAUGUAAUGGGAAGAGAUGGGCUACACUCUCUAAUUUAGAAUAUACGAAAAACUACUUAUGAAAUCUAGUCAAAAGGUGGAUUUAGAAGUAAAACGGAACAAGAGAGUCCUUUUUAACAUGGCACUGGGGUGUGUACACACCGCCCGUCACCCUCUUCACCACUAAUUUAAAGUUAUUAACACACCAAAGUCGUACAGAAGAGGCAAGUCGUAACAUGGUAAGUAUACUGGAAAGUGUGCUUGGAAA